RNAcentral lists this ribosomal RNA (468 nucleotides) under uncultured bacterium. Its description in RNAcentral is "partial 16S ribosomal RNA". It matches the Rfam family "Bacterial small subunit ribosomal RNA", at positions 28 to 507 of the family's 1533-position model. The record is from RNAcentral.
GACGAACGCUGGCGGCGUGCUUAACACAUGCAAGUCGAACGGAAAGGCCCUGCUUUUGUGGGGUGCUCGAGUGGCGAACGGGUGAGUAACACGUGAGUAACCUGCCCUUGACUUUGGGAUAACUUCAGGAAACUGGGGCUAAUACCGGAUAGGAGCUCCUGCUGCAUGGUGGGGGUUGGAAAGUUUCGGCGGUUGGGGAUGGACUCGCGGCUUAUCAGCUUGUUGGUGGGGUAGUGGCUUACCAAGGCUUUGACGGGUAGCCGGCCUGAGAGGGUGACCGGCCACAUUGGGACUGAGAUACGGCCCAGACUCCUACGGGAGGCAGCAGUGGGGAAUAUUGCACCAUGGGCGGAAGCCUGAUGCAGCCACGCCGCGUGCGGGAUGACGGCCUUCGGGUUGUAAACCGCUUUCGCCUGUGACGAAGCGUGAGUGACGGUAAUGGGUAAAGAAGCACCGGCUAACUACGUG